RNAcentral lists this ribosomal RNA (415 nucleotides) under uncultured bacterium. Its description in RNAcentral is "bacterial SSU rRNA". It matches the Rfam family "Bacterial small subunit ribosomal RNA", at positions 402 to 809 of the family's 1533-position model. The record is from RNAcentral.
UGGGUGAAGAAGGCCCUCGGGUUGUAAAGCCCUUUUGUUGGGAAAGAAAUCUUUCCGGUUAAUACCCGGAGAGGAUGACGGUACCCAAAGAAUAAGCACCGGCUAACUUCGUGCCAGCAGCCGCGGUAAUACGAAGGGUGCAAGCGUUACUCGGAAUUACUGGGCGUAAAGCGUGCGUAGGUGGUUCGUUAAGUCUGAUGUGAAAGCCCUGGGCUCAACCUGGGAAUUGCAUUGGAUACUGGCGGGCUAGAGUACGGUAGAGGGUGGCGGAAUUCCUGGUGUAGCAGUGAAAUGCGUAGAUAUCAGGAGGAACAUCCGUGGCGAAGGCGGCCACCUGGACCAGUACUGACACUGAGGCACGAAAGCGUGGGGAGCAAACAGGAUUAGAUACCCUGGUAGUCCACGCCCUAAACGA